AUUUGGUCUGGGCGUUCGACCCACCAAUCUUUGUUUAUUCUGCUCAUAAUUUGUGGACAACAGCCAAAGGCUGGACGGUCACCGCCACUGUUUGCAGAUGCACUGCGGCGGUUCGUAGCCGAGUGUGAAGCAGCUGGGAUGAAGUGCGGAGCUUCCUGUAUCUGUGUUCAGGAAUCAGGGGUGGGACCAAUGACUGUAGAAAACAUGGACGAUGCCACCCCGCCUCCUCCUAUUGUGCAAAAAUGAAGCCAAAAUAUCCCGCUUGUGGAGGCUGCCAUCUUGCAUUUUUGGAGCCAGAGUCUGCGCAGUAGUGACCUGAGGUGGAGCGACUGUGUAACGCUCCCGCCCACACACCCGCUGGACGUGACCGCAAACACGCCCCCCUACACUUUUUACGUAGCCCGGCGACUCCAGUUUUUUGCUGGUUUAUCGCGACUGACGACUCGUUUAAUUAAGAGUCCAUAUUAUAUGAACAGCUACAUUCACCCUGGAGAGAAACUAGUGAGGGAGACCAUCAGGACCAAGCUGGGUUUCUGGGUCCAGAGGUUUGGAGAAACUUCUUCCCUUUCUUUCAUCACAGCUGUCCUGUGACAGAAGUUCUGUUGACCCACUGAGAGAGGCUUCAUUUAAGAAACACCAGGAAGACUGAAGCUCAUCGCAUUGAUCAAGCAGGACUCAUGAUCUUCACCAGCAGCUCCCUCACAGGGAAAUCUUCAGCACUCCUCCGUAGGCCCGCCCCAGAAGAUGGAUAAACCCAGCAUUUCAUCAACACUGUGAUGGGGACCUUUGCUUUGUGUAAUGUUAUAAAUACUCAGAUACUCCCCAGAGGCUCUGGACUUUUACAUAAAGAUAUUAUAUUCAGUCCUGUAGAAAGUUAUAUAUUUAAAAAUAUAUGAUCCUCUCUGGUAUGAAUAACUCUGCAUCACUUUAUGGUAAAUAACACUAUCUGCAAAAAACUGUGAAAGAACUCCAGAUCACAAGUUUGUAGUUCAACAUACAAGUGACGACCUUUGACCUUCAUCAGGUUUUAUUUAAUUCUGUCAGAGAAAAUCUCAUAUGCUCUUCAUGCAGCUGAGUACAUCAAGUGUUUAAAACGGAAGCUGUGCAGGUCUGAGAUCAGCAGCUUUGUGAAACACCAAACUGAGGUCCUGUUAAUGCUGAUAUAUAGUGACACAGUUACAG
Long non-coding RNA from Astatotilapia calliptera (eastern happy), 1182 nucleotides. Lineage: Eukaryota; Metazoa; Chordata; Actinopteri; Cichliformes; Cichlidae. The record is from Ensembl.